Molecule: long non-coding RNA, 522 nt
Filed under: Eucalyptus grandis
Lineage: Eukaryota; Viridiplantae; Streptophyta; Magnoliopsida; Myrtales; Myrtaceae
Description: long non-coding RNA (EGRA_LNC005796)
Source: RNAcentral
AAUUAUAUAAAUUGUGCUAACCUGCAGAUGAAGGCUGAGGCGAGGUAAGUCUUCUGUGUGAUGUGGCUAGGCCACCUGGGGCGUAUUUUCUUUCUAAUAGGGGUUUAGGGGGUUGAACUUGCUGAGACAUCGUCUCAUCCCGGUUGUGGGAUUAAAAUUUCAAGUCCCUGGUGGAUGGAGCGAUCAGAUAGCUUUGGUUGGCCUUGAGGAGUUGCAGAUGUGAAGUCGUAAGAUUGAAGAACGUGUCCGACUUGUAGGUCGUAGGACAAUUCAUUUUUUAAGAGCCGGUCUUUUGUAGACUUUUGGCCGUAGACCUCUGUUUGUAAUUCUGUUGAAUUAUGGAAGUGUUAUGUUGUGGUUUUGCUUCCUGCUUUUCUAUCCCGUAUUUUAUUGUCAGGGGUUUUAUAAUACGUUCCGCUUGCGCAAUAAUAAAUGAAUGGGGUCGGCGACACUACCUGGGAAUGUCGCAUUUGAUCGACCGUAGUGGGAUGUGCUCGCGCUCGGGGUUCGGGGCGUGACACC